Molecule: long non-coding RNA, 400 nt
Filed under: Nicotiana benthamiana
Lineage: Eukaryota; Viridiplantae; Streptophyta; Magnoliopsida; Solanales; Solanaceae
Description: long non-coding RNA (NBEN_LNC007493)
Source: RNAcentral
GAACCCACAUUCGUUCUUCAUCUUCUUCAGCAAAAUUAGUCUGCAAAAAAGAGUUGCGCUCACAGCUAUCGACACACGAACUCCGAAACACGCACGCACACAGUUUUGGUUGCGAAAAACGGUGGUGGCUCGAGGUUUUCGAGUUCGAGUCGCCUGAUUACUGCUGGAGGUUGAAGUCUCAGUUCUUGGCGUUUUAACACUUUCUCUAUUUCUGUAUCGUGCAUUACUCAAUAUUUUAUCAAUCGUAAGUUUGAUUUUCAGUUUCAUAGUUGCUGAAGUUCUAUUAAUUGAAAAGCAAUUUCGGUUUCUUAAACUUCAUUUUGUUGCUGGGUUUUGUUGAUUUGAAUUCAUUGUUGAGCUCGCUUGUGAGACCUGUUUGGGAUUGGGUAUUGAAGUGUCG